Non-coding RNA from Myotis davidii, 74 nucleotides. The record is from Rfam. NCBI's taxonomy places the organism in Eukaryota, Metazoa, Chordata, Mammalia, Chiroptera, Vespertilionidae.
GGCAGUUCUCAGGUGACACACCCAGAUUUAGGUUCCCUCCUCUAUGGUUCCAGGUGCAUCACCUGAGAACUGCA